GAUGAACGCUGGCGGCGUGCCUAAUACAUGCAAGUCGAGCGAACAGAUGAGGGGUUUCUUCCUCUGAUGUUAGCGGCGCACGGGUGAGUAACAUGUGGAUAACCUAUCUUUGAGACUGGGAUAACUUCGGGACGCCAGAGCUAAUACCGGAUAAUAUGUUGAACCGCAUGGUUCACUAAUGAAAUACAAUUUUACUGUUACUUAUUGAUGCUUCGUCGUCGCAUUUGCUUGUUGGUAAGGUAACGCACUACAAAGGCAACGAUGCGUCGCCGACCUGGGAGGGGGACCGGCCAAACUGGAACUGAGACACGGCCCGAACCCUACGGGGGGGCAGAAGUAGGGAAUCUUCCGAAAGGGGCGAAGGCCGGACGGGGCAACGCCGCGGGGUGGAGGAAGGUCUUCGAAUGGUAAAACUCGGUUAUUGGGGAAGAAGAAUGGUGUAAGUGACUAUGCACGCCUUGACGGUACCUAAUCAGAAAGGGACGGCUAACUACGUG
This 497-nucleotide ribosomal RNA is filed under the name uncultured bacterium. Its description in RNAcentral is "partial 16S ribosomal RNA". It matches the Rfam family "Bacterial small subunit ribosomal RNA", at positions 28 to 507 of the family's 1533-position model. The record is from RNAcentral.